This 68-nucleotide transfer RNA is filed under the name pig gut metagenome. It matches the Rfam family "tRNA". Rfam says of the family: Transfer RNA (tRNA) molecules are approximately 80 nucleotides in length. Their secondary structure includes four short double-helical elements and three loops (D, anti-codon, and T loops). Further hydrogen bonds mediate the characteristic L-shaped molecular structure. tRNAs have two regions of fundamental functional importance: the anti-codon, which is responsible for specific mRNA codon recognition, and the 3' end, to which the tRNAs corresponding amino acid is attached (by aminoacyl-tRNA synthetases). tRNAs cope with the degeneracy of the genetic code in two manners: having more than one tRNA (with a specific anti-codon) for a particular amino acid; and 'wobble' base-pairing, i.e. permitting non-standard base-pairing at the 3rd anti-codon position. The record is from RNAcentral.
CGGAUGUAGUUCAAUGGUAGAAUCCCAGCCUUCCAAGCUGGUCGUGCGGGUUCGAUUCCCGUCAUCCG